UAACACGUGGGGUAACCUGGCCUGUAAGACUGGGGAUAACUCCGGGAAACCGGGGCUAAUACCGGAUGGUUGUUUGAACCGCAUGGUUCAAACAUAAAAGGUGGCUUCGGCUACCACUUACAGAUGGACCCGCGGCGCAUUAGCUAGUUGGUGAGGUAACGGCUCACCAAGGCAACGAUGCGUAGCCGACCUGAGAGGGUGAUCGGCCACACUGGGACUGAGACACGGCCCAGACUCCUACGGGAGGCAGCAGUAGGGAAUCUUCCGCAAUGGACGAAAGUCUGACGGAGCAACGCCGCGUGAGUGAUGAAGGUUUUCGGAUCGUAAAGCUCUGUUGUUAGGGAAGAACAAGUACCGUUCGAAUAGGGCGGUACCUUGACGGUACCUAACCAGAAAGCCACGGCUAACUACGUGCCAGCAGCCGCGGUAAUACGUAGGUGGCAAGCGUUGUCCGGAAUUAUUGGGCGUAAAGGGCUCGCAGGCGGUUUCUUAAGUCUGAUGUGAAAGCCCCCGGCUCAACCGGGGAGGGUCAUUGGAAACUGGGGAACUUGAGUGCAGAAGAGGAGAGUGGAAUUCCACGUGUAGCGGUGAAAUGCGUAGAGAUGUGGAGGAACACCAGUGGCGAAGGCGACUCUCUGGUCUGUAACUGACGCUGAGGAGCGAAAGCGUGGGGAGCGAACAGGAUUAGAUACCCUGGUAGUCCACGCCGUAAACGAUGAGUGCUAAGUGUUAGGGGGUUUCCGCCCCUUAGUGCUGCAGCUAACGCAUUAAGCACUCCGCCUGGGGAGUACGGUCGCAAGACUGAAACUCAAAGGAAUUGACGGGGGCCCGCACAAGCGGUGGAGCAUGUGGUUAAUUCAAAGCAACGCGAAGAACCGUACCGGGUCUGGACAUCCUCUGACCAUCCCAGAGAUAG
This 916-nucleotide ribosomal RNA is filed under the name Bacillus subtilis. RNAcentral's name for it is "bacterial SSU rRNA". It matches the Rfam family "Bacterial small subunit ribosomal RNA", at positions 111 to 1009 of the family's 1533-position model. Lineage: Bacteria; Bacillati; Bacillota; Bacilli; Caryophanales; Bacillaceae. The record is from RNAcentral.